AANNGCUGGCGCUGCUACCAUGCAGUCGACGGUGAACACGGAGCUUGCUCUGUGGGAUCAGUGGCGAACGGGUGAGUAACACGUGAGCAACCUGCCCCUGACUCUGGGAUAAGCGCUGGAAACGGCGUCUAAUACUGGAUACGAGUAGCGGCCGCAUGGUCAGUUACUGGAAAGAUUUUUUGGUUGGGGAUGGGCUCGCGGCCUAUCAGCUUGUUGGUGAGGUAAUGGCUCACCAAGGCGUCGACGGGUAGCCGGCCUGAGAGGGUGACCGGCCACACUGGGACUGAGACACGGCCCAGACUCCUACGGGAGGCAGCAGUGGGGAAUAUUGCACAAUGGGCGAAAGCCUGAUGCAGCAACGCCGCGUGAGGGAUGACGGCCUUCGGGUUGUAAACCUCUUUUAGCAGGGAAGAAGCGAAAGUGACGGUACCUGCAGAAAAAGCGCCGGCUAACUACGUGCCAGCAGCCGCGGUAAUACGUAGGGCGCAAGCGUUAUCCGGAAUUAUUGGGCGUAAAGAGCUCGUAGGCGGUUUGUCGCGUCUGCUGUGAAAUCCCGAGGCUCAACCUCGGGCCUGCAGUGGGUACGGGCAGACUAGAGUGCGGUAGGGGAGAUUGGAAUUCCUGGUGUAGCGGUGGAAUGCGCAGAUAUCAGGAGGAACACCGAUGGCGAAGGCAGAUCUCUGGGCCGUAACUGACGCUGAGGAGCGAAAGGGUGGGGAGCAAACAGGCUUAGAUACCCUGGUAGUCCACCCCGUAAACGUUGGGAACUAGUUGUGGGGUCCAUUCCACGGAUUCCGUGACGCAGCUAACGCAUUAAGUUCCCCGCCUGGGGAGUACGGCCGCAAGGCUAAAACUCAAAGGAAUUGACGGGGACCCGCACAAGCGGCGGAGCAUGCGGAUUAAUUCGAUGCAACGCGAAGAACCUUACCAAGGCUUGACAUAUACGAGAACGGGCCAGAAAUGGUCAACUCUUUGGACACUCGUAAACAGGUGGUGCAUGGUUGUCGUCAGCUCGUGUCGUGAGAUGUUGGGUUAAGUCCCGCAACGAGCGCAACCCUCGUUCUAUGUUGCCAGCACGUAAUGGUGGGAACUCAUGGGAUACUGCGGGGUCACUCGGAGAAGGUGGGGAUGACGUCAAUCAUCAUGCCCUUAUGUCUUGGGCUUCACCGCAUGCUACAAUGGGCCGGGUAACAAA
This 1195-nucleotide ribosomal RNA is filed under the name Actinomycetota bacterium. RNAcentral describes it as "bacterial SSU rRNA". It matches the Rfam family "Bacterial small subunit ribosomal RNA", at positions 31 to 1246 of the family's 1533-position model. Lineage: Bacteria; Bacillati; Actinomycetota. The record is from RNAcentral.